RNAcentral lists this ribosomal RNA (440 nucleotides) under uncultured bacterium. Its description in RNAcentral is "partial 16S ribosomal RNA". It matches the Rfam family "Bacterial small subunit ribosomal RNA", at positions 338 to 795 of the family's 1533-position model. The record is from RNAcentral.
CCUACGGGCGGCAGCAGUGGGGAAUAUUGCACAAUGGGGGAAACCCUGAUGCAGCGACGCCGCGUGAGUGAAGAAGUAUUUCGGUACGUAAAGCUCUAUCAGCAGGGAAGAAAAUGACGGUACCUGACUAAGAAGCCCCGGCUAACUACGUGCCAGCAGCCGCGGUAAUACGUAGGGGGCAAGCGUUAUCCGGAUUUACUGGGUGUAAAGGGAGCGUAGACGGCAGCGCAAGUCUGGAGUGAAAGCCCAUGGCUUAACCAUGGAACUGCUUUGGAAACUGGGCAGCUAGAGUGCAGGAGAGGUAGGCGGAAUGCCUGGUGUAGCGGUGAAAUGCGUAGAUAUUAGGAGGAACACCAGUGGCGAAGGCAGCUUACUGGACUGUAACUGACGUUGAGGCUCGAAAGCGUGGGGAGCAAACAGGAUUAGAUACCCCGGUAGUC